GAUGAAGAACGCAGCGAAAUGCGAUACUUGGUGUGAAUUGCAGAAUCCCGUGAACCAUCGAGUCUUUGAACGCAAGUUGCGCCCGAAGCCAUUAGGCCGAGGGCACGCCUGCCUGGGUGUCACACAUCGUUACCCUCGCGCCAACGUCCAGUGUUGGGCACGGCGCAGGGCGUAUGCUGACCUCCCGCGAGCGGGGUCUCGUGGUUGGUUGAAAAUCGAGUUCGCGGUCGAGUGUGCCGUGAUGAAAUGGUGGAUGGGCGACGCCCGAGGCCAAUCCAAUCACGCGCGACUCUGUCCGGCUUGGACUCCUGGACCCCUUGGGCGUCUCCGGACGCUCCCCAGAGAGACCUCAGGUCAGGCGGGGCUACCCGCUGAGUUUAAGCAUAUCAAUAAGCGGAGGA
RNAcentral lists this unclassified non-coding RNA (401 nucleotides) under soil metagenome. RNAcentral's name for it is "partial contains 5.8S ribosomal RNA, internal transcribed spacer 2, and large subunit ribosomal RNA". The stretch from base 1 to 122 matches the Rfam family "5.8S ribosomal RNA", at positions 35 to 154 of the family's 154-position model. The record is from RNAcentral.